AACGAACGCUGGCGGCAGGCCUAACACAUGCAAGUCGAGCGAGGACUUCGGUUCUAGCGGCGGACGGGUGAGUAACGCGUGGGAAUGUGCCCUUCUCUACGGAAUAUCCCUGGGAAACUGGGAGUAAUACCGUAUACGCCCUUUUGGGGAAAGAUUUAUCGGAGAAGGAUCAGCCCGCGUUGGAUUAGGUAGUUGGUGGGGUAAUGGCCUACCAAGCCGACGAUCCAUAGCUGGUUUGAGAGGAUGAUCAGCCACACUGGGACUGAGACACGGCCCAGACUCCUACGGGAGGAAGCAGUGGGGAAUCUUAGACAAUGGGGGCAACCCUGAUCUAGCCAUGCCGCGUGAGUGAUGAAGGCCUUAGGGUUGUAAAGCUCUUUCAGCUGGGAAGAUAAUGACGGUACCAGCAGAAGAAGCCCCGGCUAACUCCGUG
Molecule: ribosomal RNA, 433 nt
Filed under: uncultured bacterium
Lineage: Bacteria
Description: partial 16S ribosomal RNA
Rfam family: Bacterial small subunit ribosomal RNA
Source: RNAcentral